AUUGAACGCUGGCGGCAGGCCUAACACAUGCAAGUCGAGCGGAGCGGCGGACGGGUGAGUAAUGCCUAGGAAUCUGCCUGGUAGUGGGGGAUAACGUCCGGAACGGGCGCUAAUACCGCAUACGAUUGAAUGAGCCGAUGUCGGAUUAGCUAGUUGGCGGGGUAAAGGCCCACCAAGGCGACGAUCCGUAGCUGGUCUGAGAGGAUGAUCAGCCACACUGGAACUGAGACACGGUCCAGACUCCUACGGGAGGCAGCAGUGGGGAAUAUUGGACAAUGGGCGAAAGCCUGAUCCAGCCAUGCCGCGUGUGUGAAGAAGGUCUUCGGAUUGUAAAGCACUUUAAGUUGGGAGGCGUUACCAACAGAAUAAGCACCGGCUAACUUCGUGCCAGCAGCCGCGGUAAUAC
Molecule: ribosomal RNA, 406 nt
Filed under: uncultured bacterium
Lineage: Bacteria
Description: partial 16S ribosomal RNA
Rfam family: Bacterial small subunit ribosomal RNA
Source: RNAcentral